This 253-nucleotide ribosomal RNA is filed under the name uncultured bacterium. RNAcentral describes it as "partial 16S ribosomal RNA". It matches the Rfam family "Bacterial small subunit ribosomal RNA", at positions 524 to 776 of the family's 1533-position model. The record is from RNAcentral.
UACGUAGGGUGCAAGCGUUAAUCGGAAUUACUGGGCGUAAAGCGUGCGCAGGCGGUUCGCUAAGACAGAUGUGAAAUCCCCGGGCUUAACCUGGGAACUGCAUUUGUAACUGGCGGGCUAGAGUAUGGCAGAGGGGGGUAGAAUUCCACGUGUAGCAGUGAAAUGCGUAGAGAUGUGGAGGAAUACCGAUGGCGAAGGCAGCCCCCUGGGCCAAUACUGACGCUCAUGCACGAAAGCGUGGGGAGCAAACAGG